GAGGGGGGUGCAAACGUUAUUCGGAUUUAUUGGGUGUAAAGGGUGUGUAGACGGGUUAUUAAGUUCGUUGUUAAAUCUUCUGGGCCUAACCAGAAGCUCGCGAUGAAAACUAAUAGUCUUGAGGAUGGAAGAGAGAAGUGGAAUUCUCGGAGUAGCGGUAAAAUGCGUAGAUCUCGAGAGGAACACCGAUGGCGAAGGCAGCUUCUUGGUCCAUUCCUGACGUUGAAACACGAAAGCGUGGGGAGCAAACAGGAUUAGAUACCCUGGUAGUCCACGCCGUAAACGAUGAUCACUAGAUGUUGGCCCUGUUUUGCAGGGUUAGUAUCGAAGCUAACGCGUUAAGUGAUCCACCUGGGAACUACGAUCGCAAGAUUA
Molecule: ribosomal RNA, 375 nt
Filed under: uncultured organism
Description: partial 16S ribosomal RNA
Rfam family: Bacterial small subunit ribosomal RNA
Source: RNAcentral